CUUAUUUCAAGAAUCAAUAGUGAAUCAAAGAGAGAAAGAGAUCCAACGAAGCGACGAUAGAGGGAGAUCGAGCAACCAAGUGAUUGAGUUAAUAGAAAGAGAUUCUUGAUCGAACCCUCCGUAUUUGCUCCAUUGUUCGCAAUGUCUAAAAAAGCUAAUGAAAAUGAUGGUGAUGGGGACGUCAUUGAAGUACAUGACAUUUCAGCUCGAAAUUCUCCCAGAAAGUGGAAGUUGACAUCAAAGUUGUGCAUCCAUGAUCAGUAUAUACGAAGGCAAUGUUUUUGGUCUUGUCAUGAUUCAGACAAUUUUUUGGAGGUUUUUUUGGUCCUGUCAUGACUCAAGAAAUGUACAUAGACUGGUGGACAAUAUCCUAAAGAGGGGUCAUAUGGACAACAUGAAGUAUUCUGUAGAAGAAUUGAAAUACCUUUUGUUUUUGGUCCUCUGCCAUAUUUCAGUUUAGUGUAUUCCAGAAUUUAGCCCAGGUGUCCACUAUUUUUUUUAGUAAUUGUUAUGCUUUCUGAAAAUGUAAGUUGUUUACUGUUAACUAUUGGAGAAAUUUGAAGUGGUGCUCACUUUUAAAAGGAGCAUGAGUAACUAAUGGCAUUGGAUUACUUCUAGUAAUGCUCACUUUUAAAAGAAACAUAAGUUGUAACUUGUAUUCUGUUAUAAAUUCCUGUUUGUUAUUUGUUCCUUA
Molecule: long non-coding RNA, 694 nt
Organism: Cornus florida
Lineage: Eukaryota; Viridiplantae; Streptophyta; Magnoliopsida; Cornales; Cornaceae
Exons: 4
Source: RefSeq, a predicted model, not a curated record